UACUAAACUAUGCGCUGCUCUCGGGGCAGGAGUAAAAUAACAGUACUAAAGUGAAUUAUGCGCUGCUCUCGGAGCAGGAGUACUCAAUAGGUUCGUAUUACUGUUAUUUUUGCUAAACUAUGCGCUGCUCUCAGGGCAGGAGUACUCAAUAGGUUCGUAUUAUUGUUAUUUUUUAAUAAACUAUGCGCUGCUCUCAGGGCAGGAGUACUGGAUAGGUUAAUAUUACUGUUAUUUGUCAUGUACUAUGUGCUAUGCAUGUCAAAGUAUUUCUGUAUGACUAUAGGCCUGUCAUUGACUCUUUCAUGUAGUUUUUCUUCUCUUUGCAGAAAAACUUCUUGGAAAAAGCAGAAGUCGUCACUGGUCCAUACUUGGAGAAAGGGAAUCUCUGGACUUUCUUUAUGCUUUGCAGUGAGAUGGUCAGUGAUGUAGUGUUCCUGGCAUGGAAGUUUCCUGCACAAAAGAAAGUGGUCCAGAAAAUAUAUGAAAAUGAGGAUGUUCAUGAUUCAAUAUCCCAAACUAAAGCCUUUAAGAAGACCUUACAAACAUUUCUGGAGACUUUGAGAGACCGGUUUUGAGAAGAUAUUUGGCAAAGCAACCUAUGACCUUGGGCUUGGUUUAAAGGGAGCCUGUUCAAAUUUGUUGACUCAUGUCUAAAAUAAAAAUAAAAAAAUACAAAAAUAAAAAACUUAAAAACCUCUAGGAAUGAUGAUAUCCACUAGUUAAGACUACAGCAGUUUAAUGAUACAUCUUGCUGAACUUUUUUGUUGUGAAACGUUCCUGUGUUUUAUACAUGCA
Molecule: long non-coding RNA, 795 nt
Organism: Labeo rohita (rohu)
Lineage: Eukaryota; Metazoa; Chordata; Actinopteri; Cypriniformes; Cyprinidae
Exons: 3
Source: RefSeq, a predicted model, not a curated record